GCGGAAGUAGUUCAGUGGUAGAACACCACCUUGCCAAGGUGGGGGUCUCGCGGGUUCGAAUCCCGUCUUCCGCU
This 74-nucleotide transfer RNA is filed under the name Sediminibacillus albus. It matches the Rfam family "tRNA". From Rfam's summary of the family: Transfer RNA (tRNA) molecules are approximately 80 nucleotides in length. Their secondary structure includes four short double-helical elements and three loops (D, anti-codon, and T loops). Further hydrogen bonds mediate the characteristic L-shaped molecular structure. tRNAs have two regions of fundamental functional importance: the anti-codon, which is responsible for specific mRNA codon recognition, and the 3' end, to which the tRNAs corresponding amino acid is attached (by aminoacyl-tRNA synthetases). tRNAs cope with the degeneracy of the genetic code in two manners: having more than one tRNA (with a specific anti-codon) for a particular amino acid; and 'wobble' base-pairing, i.e. permitting non-standard base-pairing at the 3rd anti-codon position. Lineage: Bacteria; Bacillati; Bacillota; Bacilli; Caryophanales; Bacillaceae. The record is from Rfam by way of RNAcentral.